GCAAAACGCGAAGAACCUUACCCACCCUUGACAUGUACGGAAUCCUUUAGAGAUAGAGGAGUGCUCGAAAGAGAGCCGUAACACAGGUGCUGCAUGGCUGUCGUCAGCUCGUGUCGUGAGAUGUUGGGUUAAGUCCCGCAACGAGCGCAACCCUUGCCAUUAGUUGCUACAUUUAGUUGAGCACUCUAAUGGGACUGCCGGUGACAAACCGGAGGAAGGUGGGGAUGACGUCAAGUCCUCAUGGCCCUUAUAGGUGGGGCUACACACGUCAUACAAUGGCUGGUACAAAGGGUUGCCAACCCGCGAGGGGGAGCUAAUCCCAUAAAGCCAGUCGUAGUCCGGAUCGCAGUCUGCAACUCGACUGCGUGAAGUCGGAAUCGCUAGUAAUCGUGGAUCAGAAUGUCACGGUGAAUACGUUCCCGGGUCUUGUACACACCG
Molecule: ribosomal RNA, 438 nt
Filed under: uncultured bacterium
Lineage: Bacteria
Description: bacterial SSU rRNA
Rfam family: Bacterial small subunit ribosomal RNA
Source: RNAcentral